Molecule: long non-coding RNA, 3884 nt
Organism: Parus major (Great Tit)
Lineage: Eukaryota; Metazoa; Chordata; Aves; Passeriformes; Paridae
Exons: 7
Source: RefSeq, a predicted model, not a curated record
UUGUACUCCUGGUGUGAGAUCUAAUAUUUUUGUAAGUUAAUAACUGGAAUUUCCUAGUCCUUUUCCAGGCAAAGAAAGGGUCUUGUUUGUUGGGUCUUCAAGCAACUCAUUUUAAAUUCAAGGUUGAUCAGAACACUCUAGCAACCUGCUUUCUCCUGGUCCAGCUAUCAACUUGAGUUUCUCUGUGGCAUCUGCUACCACAGUGUCUUGGUGCUGAAACAGCCCUCUGCUCUGAUGUCUGACACGGAACAGAUACCAGAUAUUGAAAAGCCUGGGGGCUCACACAACAGUCCAGUGAAAUCUCAACAAGGAAAGUAGUAUUUACCCUGAUAUAAUUAUAAAGCAGAUACAACUCCCACAGAUGCCAGCCACAAAAGGACCACAGUUGAGGAAACAAUCUCUCUCCUAGUAUCAGACCUUCUCAGACUAAGCACUCUUCAACUCUGCGUCAGCACUUCCAUGUGUAACCAGAGCCAGAGUCCUCCACAGAAAUGGGUACAGAAAGCUCAGAGAGAGGGAACUGAAAACUACUAGUGCUGAAAAAUCUAAAAUAUCCCAGGACCACAUCGGCUCACCACCAUCCUUUCAUCCUGAAGUUUGUCUUCUGUGAUAAUCUCCUGCAAAACAGUCCAGUUAUGUCCCACUAGAGAAGUAUUAAAUGGCUCUGUCAAAAGGAACUAUCUUCUGAUCUGGUUGAGCAGAACUUUUGAUUGUCCUACAGAUCAACACCAUAGGUGCUCUAGAAAGAUAAAAACUGGAAGAUGCUACCAAGUAACUUUACAAGGAUAGAUUAAUCUAUCUUGGAAAAACUUCCUUCUCCUCCAAGUUGCCAAAAAUUUAUUACUGAAGCUGAAAAAAUAUAUUAGUACUAUUACACAAGUAAAACCACAACUUGUUGGGAUAAAUGAACCUAAUUUGGGUCUUUUACCUCUCUAAUUAAUACAGAUAUGGCCGAUGACAGACAAACUGCAGGUAUGACUAAAACGUGGGACUUGGGAGAGCUUGUUAGUACUGCUCUGGUUCAUCAUAUUUCACAUCAGAGAAGGCUCAAGGUAUGCACUCUCCCCUGCUCUGCUGCAAAGGAAUAUGGUCACAUCAUAGGAAGAGCACUGAAAGCUGUACUAAAAUCCAAAAAGAUUACAUCAACAACAUGUAGACAGGGUGAGAGCUCACUAGGGCUUUCAUAGAAUGACUGGGAGAUCUGGACCCUUUGGUUUCCCAUUAAAUGCUACUGCAAGUCAAUCUGAAUGCAUUUCUCAUCAGCUAAAUAAGUAACGUAGCACAGAAAAAGCUGAAAUCCAAUUUAGGCUACACCUGAUAAUCUGUCUUUCAUCCCCAGUGUGAUUCUGCAGAAUUAAGUCUGUUGGGUGUGUACAGACAAAGGUUUGCCAUCCUCUAUCCACCUGCAUUAACUUGCAGUAACUUGUGUUUACUUGUAACUGUGGUCAGUACAAGGCACAGUUACUUGUAGUAAUCAGCCAACACUCCUAGGCAAUUUUUCAAGUAUACAGAGUUUAACUAUCCUUAAUAAAUAAAUAGUUUUUGUAUUUUGUAGAUAAUAAAUAAUUAAACUUUAAUUUUCCGGGAGUCACAGUCAUGGAGGGUUCAUCAUUGCUUUACUAUUAUCAAGAAGUCCAACAUAAAUCUGCCAGCCCUAUUCAGACUGGCUGAACAGCAGAUUUGAGUAUGCAGUUUGUGCUUGACACUAUUAUAGCCUAAAGGCAGAUACACAUUUGUAAUCUUUGCAAACACCACUGAAUUUGGAGGAACAGCUGACAUACCAAAGGGGAGUUCAGAGGCACUCUCCAGCAACCUGGGGACUGGAUCAACAGAAACCUCCUCAAGUUCAACAGGGGUAAGUGUCAAGUUCUGCAGCUAUGGCAGAAUAACCCCAAGCACCAGUGCAGGUUGGGAACACACUGCUGUAAAGACCCAGAGGUUACAGGGGAUGCCAAAUAAAACAUGAGGCAGCAGCAUGUUCCCAAAGUAAACAAAGCAAACUGUAAAUUGGCUGCAUUAGCAGUGUGACCAGCACAUUGAGGCUCUGCUUGAUGCUUGCAAGGAUUUGUGUCUCCCACAAUUCUGUGUCUGGUUCCUUAUGUCCCAGAUGAAGGACACUGAAAAACAGGGCAGAACUAUCAAAAUGGUCAUAUUCCCACAACUCAUGAUGUGUAAGAGCUUGGGAGCCUCUUUAGUCUGGCAAAGAGGACGCUAAGGGGAAAGCCUGGAACUGCCUGCAGGGAUGUUACAGAAACUACAGAGCCUUCAAGCAGUAGCUGCACAAAGUCAUAGCUGACCUGGUUCAACCACCUCAAAAUCCUUCCAAAUUAUGGUUCUGUAUUUCUUCUAUGAUACCAUGAACCUGUUUCAAAUUUCAUCUCAAAAUACCUUCACUGUUUCUACAACAGUGUCUUCAAGCAGGACACACAGGCAGACCCAAGUCUUGCUGUGUCACAAAUGUAACUGCUUGGUCCCUCUAAAAAUUAGCAGAGCACAGAUUAGAAAAUUCCUCAUCUGACUAUUCCUGCUAUCUAACUUCCAUUUAAUAGAACUUUUUCUUUUCUUUCCAAACAGGUUUUGAUCUACAAAACAGGUAGCAGGUUGGGGCUCAUGAAGAAAAGGUCUCAAACACAAGUAAAAAUGUAUGCAGUUUUGGUACUGCUGGAACUCCCAUAUAUGUGAAGAUAGACUGUGAUUGUGAAAUACCAUGCAAGAACAACACCCUGAUACUAAAUCAGUUCAACACAAGCCAGGAAGAGGAAGAAGGGAAAAUUGUGGCUCCCAGCCACUUGAGGGAGAAGGAAGAAAAGAGAGAACAUUCACACAGGGUGUCUUGGGUAUUUAAACAACAAAGUUCUACCAUGACCAGUGAUGUCCACAGAACACACUGAAUGACUGCUGAAGGAAGCGGUCAGAUACAGAAGAUGCUAUCAUCAAUACAGCAGACUCAGAAGACUGACUUCAGUCAGUCCUCCUCCAAAGUCCCAGGAGGGCUUCUAGAUUGUGUGAUUCUCUGAAGCUUUUCCACUGCUUUAAAGAAGUUAAAUAACUAUUUAACCUCAUCUCACAACCAGAAAAACUGGGGCACAGCAACAGCUUCCUUCCAUGGAAACUUCUAGUUAAAAGUGAAAGAUGCAUGUGAUCUGCAAAGAAACUACUGAUAAACCUAAGGCCACAGGAAGUGCUGAUGUCAAAUACCCGAGCCGAAUUCAGGAGCUGCCUUAGCCUGCUUGUGAACCAUAGUUCCUCACCCUCUGGACCUGCAACCUUGAUCCCAUCAUCACGUCUGGCAUACUGGCUGGGGCUUUGGCAGCUCAACGUGGGCACCUCCUACCCAUCCCUAGGAUCUACAAUACAGCCAGAUUUCUGGAAAAUCUGUUUUUAUGGUGGCCGCUUCAUACAGGGAGAGCUGUAGCUUUGUGCAAGAGGAUGAAGAAGGCUAGAGAAAUUCAUGAGCAGCUCUGUUAAGAAAACCCAAAUACCACGCUUCCUGGUCUCGUGUGGCAUUUGUUGGGCACUCCACACAAGUGUCAAUCAGCGUGAAACUACUUAAUUUAUAAUCUUCAUACAAAAAAGGGAGAGGUAACAUGGCUGCAUUUCCAGGCACGAUUAACGCUCUAAAAGACGGAGAAAUACGAGGACCCUUGCCUUCCUCAAACAAUGAGCAGAGAUUACAAAACAAUCUAAACGUGCUACUCCAACUUAGCUCCAUUAUGCAAACACUACCUGGGAAAGCGUCCUGGGGGUGCCUUACAUAACUCCUCUCUCCGAGCCCCCCUUGGCAGCCGGGCAGUUGUUCCUCCCCCUAACCCCGGCCGCAGCCCCGGCUCCGCCAGUGCCGUGCGGGAGCUCCCGGGCCGGGCGCAGCCGGCGGGCGGCGGCAG